Mastomys coucha (southern multimammate mouse) is the source of this 127-nucleotide small nucleolar RNA. RefSeq annotates it as small nucleolar RNA SNORA40. Lineage: Eukaryota; Metazoa; Chordata; Mammalia; Rodentia; Muridae. The record is from RefSeq and is a predicted model, not a curated record. The transcript has a single exon.
AGCAUGUGUGUGGGGUUUUUUUUAACUGGUAGACAAAGACAUAAAGCAAAUUUGAAAAUAAACCCUCUUUUGCAAUCCAGAACUCAUGGUUCAGUAUGAGUUUUGACCCAUAUAAAAAAAGACUAUG